This is a ribosomal RNA of Tropilaelaps mercedesae, 119 nucleotides long. The record is from Rfam. NCBI's taxonomy places the organism in Eukaryota, Metazoa, Arthropoda, Arachnida, Mesostigmata, Laelapidae.
ACCAUCGGCCAUAGUACGUUGAAUACGCUGGUUAUUGCCUGAUCACCGAAGCUAAACAACCUUGGGUCUGGGCAGUACUUGGAAUGGAGGCCGCCUGAUAACAGUGGGUGUUAAUGGCA